CCUACGGGUGGCAGCAGUGAGGAAUAUUGGUCAAUGGACGAGAGUCUGAACCAGCCACGUCGCGUGAAGGAUGACUGUCCUAUGGGUUGUAAACUUCUUUUAUAAAGGAAUAAAACGAGGCACGUGUGCCUGUUUGCGUGUACUUUAUGAAUAAGGAUCGGCUAACUCCGUGCCAGCAGCCGCGGUAAUACGGAGGAUCCGAGCGUGAUCCGGAUUUAUUGGGUUUAAAGGGAGCGUAGAUGGGUUGUUAAGUCAGUUGUGAACGUUUGCGGCUCAACCGUAAAAUUGCAAUUGAUACUGGCAGUCGUGAGUACAGUUGAGGUAGGCGGAAUGCGUGGUGUAGCGGUGAAAUGCUUAGAUAUCACGAAGAACCCCGAUUGCGAAGGCAGCUGACUAAACUGUGACUGACAUUGAUGCUCGAAAGUGUGGGUAUCAAACAGGAUUAGAUACCCGUGUAGUC
This 460-nucleotide ribosomal RNA is filed under the name uncultured bacterium. Its description in RNAcentral is "partial 16S ribosomal RNA". It matches the Rfam family "Bacterial small subunit ribosomal RNA", at positions 338 to 795 of the family's 1533-position model. The record is from RNAcentral.